Long non-coding RNA from Arachis duranensis, 1090 nucleotides. RefSeq lists it as uncharacterized. The transcript has 3 exons. The record is from RefSeq and is a predicted model, not a curated record. NCBI's taxonomy places the organism in Eukaryota, Viridiplantae, Streptophyta, Magnoliopsida, Fabales, Fabaceae.
UUCGCUGACACGCAUAGGUUUAUAUAUAAGUAGCAUAGAUAACAAAUUAGAAUUAGAACACGUAGCGCAAAACUUUUUUUUUAGUGCUUCCAAGCGACGAACCUUUUUCCGAUUCAAUUAUUCUAUGGAAUAAGUAUUCUCUUGAACCAUAUUAGUUAGAUAAUUCAAAUUUUUGAACCGGUUUGAUUUCCCUUCUCCCGGUUCAACCAAACCAUGCUUUCCUUAAAUAACCCAGACCUAGAGAAACUCUGAUUAAACUCAUCUUCCCUUCUUCUCUCACAACCGAACGUGUUGUCCAAGACCAUGGUUACCUCUUCAUGUAAUCAAUACUGUGAUGUGGUGUUGCAAGAGGAAGAGGCCACGAAGCCUUGUCACACCAGCUCACCUCUUCCCACCUUCUGUAGAUAUAUAUAGAUGAGUCAAGUCUCUCAAUUUUCCUGGAAACCACACGAAGAGAAGAAAGGAAGCAAGAGUGGCGGCCAAGAAGAAGGAAGAGGAAGACCCAGCAGAAAUCAUCAUCAUCUGCGUGCGUCACCACCAAGAAGAAGGAGAAGGGUCAUCAAGAGAGCUGCUACCCGAAGCCAAAGAAGGAAUCCUAUCUCUUUCCUUUCCUGGUUUUCUUAGUGUUCCUCUUGUUGGGGUUUUCUGAUUUAAUAUAGCAAAGGACAGACUUUGGUUUGUGAAAUUCUCGAAGAGAGACGGGUCCGGCAGAGGAGCCCUGUGAGUUUCGUUCUAACCGCUGAGCUAUGAGGAUCCGGCACGCGGCGGAGUCUUCAUAUGGAGCAUGUUUUGGACCUCUUUCUUGCACAAUGUUCAGAGAUCACUCUAGAGUUAGUCGCAGUGGAUCUUUCGCUCCUGUUUGAUGAUCUUAGUAUCACUUUUCCCUCACUUUUGUAGUACUUUUAGAGGGGUAGGACGUCUUAGUAGUUCGGUUCCAGCUUAGGAAACCCGUGUGAGGGUUGGGACUGAUUUCUUCUUUUGUAUCUGUACAUAUAACUUGGUGUGACACUCGGCUUUGAUGGAUGACACGUAUCCUUGAAUUUAACUCAUGUGUAUAUUAUAUAUAUGUUUAUAUAUGUUAUUUUCGGUU